RNAcentral lists this ribosomal RNA (1332 nucleotides) under Catopsilia pomona (lemon migrant). RNAcentral's name for it is "16S ribosomal RNA". The stretch from base 1079 to 1238 matches the Rfam family "Eukaryotic large subunit ribosomal RNA", at positions 2825 to 2984 of the family's 3401-position model. The record is from RNAcentral. Lineage: Eukaryota; Metazoa; Arthropoda; Insecta; Lepidoptera; Pieridae.
UUAAAAUAAAAUUAAAUCCAAAAUAAAAUAAUAAAAAAAAUUUUAAUAUAAAAAAGAAAUAAUGGGGGUUAAAGUAUUUUUUAGAAAAAAUUUAAAAAUUUAUAGUGAAUUAGUAUUGUAAAAGAAUUUUGAAAAAAUUGAAAAUUAAUUAAUUUAUAAGUAAAUUUAAUUUAUUGUAUCUUGUGUAUCAGAGUUUAUUAAUUAAUAUUUAUAUAUUAGUAAAUAUCUCGAAUUUAAAAGAGAUAAUUAAUUAAAAAAGUUAAUGUUGCAUAAUUAUUUUUAAUAAUUAAUUUGAAAUGAAAUGUUAAUCGUUUUUAAAUAUAUCUAGUUUUUUUAGAAAAAAAUUUAAUUUUAAAUUAAUUUUGUUAAUUUAUUAAUUUUUUAAUAAAUAAUAAAUUUAAUUAAAUAUUUUAAGGGAUAAGCUUUAAAUUAAAUUUUUAUAAUUAAAAUUAAAUUCAAAAUAAAAUUUUUAAAAUUUAUAUUUUUUAUAAAUUAUAAUUUUUUAUAAAUAAUUUUAUUUAAUUUAAAAUUUAAUAUUAAAAUUUAAAUUUUUAUAAAAAAAUAAUUUUUAAUAAAAUUAAGUUAGAUAUAAUGAUAAAAUUAGUAUAAUUUUUAUAAAAAAAAAUAAAAAAAUUUAUAAUUAAAUAAAAGGAAUUCGGCAAAAAUUUAUAUUCACUUGUUUAUCAAAAACAUGUCUUUUUGAAAAUAAUAUAAAGUCUAAUCUGCCCACUGAAUUAAUUUAAAGGGCUGCAGUAUAUUGACUGUACAAAGGUAGCAUAAUCAAUAGUCUUUUAAUUGAAGACUUGUAUGAAUGAUUUGAUGAAAUAUAAACUGUCUCUUUUUUAAAAUUAAAAUUUAAUUUUUUAGUUAAAAAGCUAAAAUAAAUAUAAAAGACGAGAAGACCCUAUAGAGUUUUAUAAUUAUUUUUAUUUAUUUUAUAUAUUAAUAUUAAAAAUUAAAUGUAAAUAAUUAUUUUGUUGGGGUGAUAGAAAAAUUUAAUUAACUUUUUUUUAAAUUUAACAUUAAUAUAUGAAUAUAUGAUCCAUAUUUUAUGAUUAAAAGAAUAAAUUACCUUAGGGAUAACAGCGUAAUUUUUUUUUUUAGUUCAUAUAAAAAAAAAAGUUUGCGACCUCGAUGUUGGAUUAAGAUAAAAUUUAAAUGCAAAAGUUUAAAAUUUUUGAUCUGUUCGAUCAUUAAAAUCUUACAUGAUCUGAGUUCAAACCGGUGUAAGCCAGGUUGGUUUCUAUCUUUAUAUAAUAAGAAUAAUUUAGUACGAAAGGAUCAAUUAUUUUAAAUAAUUUAAUUUUAUGAAUAUUAUUAAUUUAAUUAUAA